This 373-nucleotide ribosomal RNA is filed under the name uncultured organism. Its description in RNAcentral is "partial 16S ribosomal RNA". It matches the Rfam family "Bacterial small subunit ribosomal RNA", at positions 527 to 896 of the family's 1533-position model. The record is from RNAcentral.
GUAGGUGGCAAGCGUUGUCCGGAACUAUUGGGCGUAAAGCGCGCGCAGGUGGGUUCUUUAAGUCUGAUGUGAAAGCCCCCGGGCUCAACCGGGGAGGGUCAUUGGAAACUGGGGAACUUGAGUGCAGGAGAGGAAAGUGGAAUUCCACGUGUAGCGGUGAAAUGCGUAGAUAUGUGGAGGAACACCAGUGGCGAAGGCGACUUUCUGGCCUGUAACUGACACUGAGGCGCGAAAGCGUGGGGAGCAAACAGGAUUAGAUACCCUGGUAGUCCACGCCGUAAACGAUGAGUGCUAAGUGUUGGGGGGUUUCCGCCCCUCAGUGCUGCAGCUAACGCAUUAAGCACUCCGCCUGGGGAGUACGGUCGCAAGACUG